GGACGGGUAGCUUAGGUUGGCUGGAGCACCCGGCUGAUAACCGGGAGGUCGCAGGUUCAAAUCCUGCCUCGUCCACC
This 77-nucleotide transfer RNA is filed under the name Candidatus Poseidoniales archaeon. Its description in RNAcentral is "tRNA-Ile". It matches the Rfam family "tRNA". From Rfam's summary of the family: Transfer RNA (tRNA) molecules are approximately 80 nucleotides in length. Their secondary structure includes four short double-helical elements and three loops (D, anti-codon, and T loops). The record is from RNAcentral. Lineage: Archaea; Methanobacteriati; Thermoplasmatota; Candidatus Poseidoniia; Candidatus Poseidoniales.